GUAGCAGUGGCAAGUUCUUGAGGAGGUUCAGGCUGCCGGAGAAUGCAAAGAUGGAUCAAGUGAAGGCUUCAAUGGAAAAUGGAGUUCUUACUGUGACUGUUCCUAAGGAGGAAAUCAAGAAACCUGAUGUGAAGGCUAUUGAGAUUUCUGGCUGAGUUCUACAAAUAUGAGCAUUAAAAUGAAUGUUCUAAGAGAGAUUCAGAAGUUGUUUGAUGUAAUAAAUUAAUGAACAAAGAUGGAGUCUUGAGUUGUAAAAUCUACUUUCAAUUUUUUUAAAUUUCCAACAGCUGAAUUUCACAAAUUAAGACUAAGGUUUAUGUCAUUAUGUCAUACGUAAAAUUUCACUGGCUAAUUAAAUCAUUUUAAAAAUAAUUUUACACUGCUAUAUAUUUUAAGUAGCUAAGCAAAUAAUUUUACAUUAUAUAGUAACUUAUUUACAAAAUUUGAUUAAUAAAAUUAGUUUAAUUAAAUAUUUAUUUGAUAGUCAAAAAAAAAUAAGAAAGUUAGUAUUUUAAAUUGCUUAAUCACAUAUUUAAUGUUUUAUAGAAAUAAAAAAUAAUAAAAAUUAUCAUUAUUAAUAUGGAAAAAUGUGAAUUUAUUAUAAAAAUGAAUUUGAGAAUGUCACAAUAUUAUUUUAAUCACGAGGGUCAAAAUUAUGUAUCGACGAAUUUUUUACUUUGUAUAUAUAUGGUUGAAUUUUGUGUAAGACCAUUUCAAGUGAGCAUUAUAACCCCUUUUUUUAAUAAUAAUAAUAUUCUUACACAAGUGAAUAAAAAUUUCAAAAUGAUAAUAAAAGUUAAUUAAAGGGAUUGCAAGUAUAACAAAUUAAAUAUACAUAAUAAAAAAUUAUUAAAAAAAAUUUAAGUAUUCUGAAGGUCAGACGUCAUUUGAUAUAUAAAAUGCUAAUAAAACAUUUGUCGUGUAGAUAUUUUCAGAUUUUCAUGUCCAUAAAUCUUGAAUCCAACUCUCAAAUAUCAAAUAUUACUAAUCAUACAUUCUUUUAUCAUUUUUCUGGCGGCUGCCAUUUGAUUUUGAAAAUUAUAUUAUAAUUCAAAAAUGUAUUUCAAAAAAAAAAAUAUAUAAGACAAUAAGAAUAUUUGUAAAUUAUAUCCCGAAGAAUAAGAUGAGAUGAUAUUGAUUAAUUCUCCUUUAAUUAAAGGUUUCGAGUUUGAGCUCUGAAUAUGAAAUAUUUUUAAACACUUGGAAGGGAGUAUUUUUAAUCCCUUUGUAGGCUUUUCCGGUGCAAAUUUCAUUAAAAAACUUUAGCUUAUUUUGAGGGAUUCAAUCAAGUGACAAAGAAAUUGAUUUAUGCUAUUAGCUAUAAACACACUCUACUUAAUGGCUACUUACAGUACUGCUCGACUCUAUAGUUAUUCAACAGGUUUGAUUAUUUUCAAAUUUCUUUUAGGAGUAACUUUCAAAUUUCUUUCAUUUACUAAAAAGAGAUCCGCAUCUCUAUUUGAUUUACUUUCAAAUAACAAAAUGCUUUAAAAUGCUAAAGUUAUUUGAUUUCAAAAUUUUAUCUAUGCAUUUUUAAGAUUGUUUUUAAUAAUAAUAAUGACAUAUUAAUCUAAUUGAAUUUUCCCGAUUUUGAAUUAGUUGCACGAACAUUUAAAAGGUUUAAUAUUCUCAUAUUAUAGUUGGUUUUUUUAACGAUAUUUAUAACUUAUUAUAGAUAAUUAUUUAUUUAUUUAAAUUUUUUUAAUAAGUUACGUACUUUUUCAAGGCUGUGUGCUAAGUGUGCUGUGUCUUAUUUUUUUUUUUUUUCUCAAAAGAGUUGUAUCACAUUCCGUGGCAACCUAUUUCAUAGAUAAACGGAAGAAAAAAUUUAUCUAGACUAAAUUCAUAAUCCUAUUUAUGAAUCAAAUUAAUAAAGCUAAUGAUUUUUAUUAAAAUGGCAUAUUUCUAUCCAUAUAUUUAAAAAAAAAAUUAAACCGACCUAUUAUUUAAAAAAUCUUUAGCUCCAUUGAUUUUCAUGAAUAAGGCUGUGAACUCCGUCUGGCAGAUUUCUUCCAAUACAUAGUACUCCCGCUGGACCCGAUUGGCUGACGUGGCUGGAUCUUAAAAAACGACAUCGACUGAGCCCGUUUGGAAACUAAGAACAAAAGUUCGAGAAUGUUCGAGAAAGGCCCAUAUCCAGAUUUAUCGAACUUUCCAAGCAUUGAAGGUUCCAGAACUUUCCAUAUAUGGUUUGUUAACGACAGCCCAAUUAGAUUUCCCGAGAAACUACCAGAAUCGCUCUUCUACUGCCUAUAAAUAAUCAAACCCAUUGCCCCUAGUCCGAUCAUCGACGAUAAGAAGAAGUUCAGUUCUCAAUUUACUUUCUCAGCUAUCUAUCAGAUCUUGUCCAAGAAAUAAACAAAACAGAAAUGGCUCUGAUUCCAAGUUUCUUCGGUAACUCACGAAGCAGCAUUUUCGAUCCUUUCUCUGCUUUUGACGUUUGGGAUCCAUUCAAAGAUUUUCCUUUCCCUUCGUCUUCUUCAAUCGUCUCUCGUGAGAAUUCUGCUUUUAUCAACACUCGCAUAGACUGGAAAGAGACACCAGAAGCUCAUGUAUUCAAGGCUGAUCUUCCCGGGCUCAAGAAAGAGGAAGUGAAGGUGGAGAUUGAAGAUGACAGAAUUCUCCAAAUCAGCGGAGAGAGGAAUGUGGAGAAAGAAGAAAAGAAUGAUACUUGGCAUCGGGUGGAGCGUAGCAGUGGGAAGUUCAUGAGGAGAUUCAGGCUGCCGGAGAAUGCAAAGAUGGAUCAAGUAAAGGCUUCAAUGGAAAAUGGAGUUCUUACUGUGACAGUUCCAAAGGAGGAAAUCAAGAAACCUGAUGUCAAGGCUAUCCAGAUUUCUGGUUGAGCUAUUAUUUCCUGUAAACUUACAUAUAUAGCAAAGCUAGAGAUGAUGAAGAAAGAAUUAAUGAUGUUUGUUCUGUUAUUUUACUGGGUGUG
Molecule: long non-coding RNA, 2935 nt
Filed under: Jatropha curcas
Lineage: Eukaryota; Viridiplantae; Streptophyta; Magnoliopsida; Malpighiales; Euphorbiaceae
Description: long non-coding RNA (JCUR_LNC000125)
Source: RNAcentral